Molecule: ribosomal RNA, 585 nt
Filed under: Nonomuraea sp. ACT-73
Lineage: Bacteria; Bacillati; Actinomycetota; Actinomycetes; Streptosporangiales; Streptosporangiaceae
Description: bacterial SSU rRNA
Rfam family: Bacterial small subunit ribosomal RNA
Source: RNAcentral
GCGACGACGGGUAGCCGGCCUGAGAGGGCGACCGGCCACACUGGGACUGAGACACGGCCCAGACUCCUACGGGAGGCAGCAGUGGGGAAUAUUGCGCAAUGGGCGGAAGCCUGACGCAGCGACGCCGCGUGGGGGAUGACGGCCUUCGGGUUGUAAACCUCUUUCAGCAGGGACGAAGUUGACGUGUACCUGCAGAAGAAGCGCCGGCUAACUACGUGCCAGCAGCCGCGGUAAUACGUAGGGCGCAAGCGUUGUCCGGAAUUAUUGGGCGUAAAGAGCUCGUAGGUGGCUGGUCGCGUCUGCCGUGAAAGCCCGCAGCUUAACUGCGGGUCUGCGGUGGAUACGGGCCGGCUAGAGGUAGGUAGGGGCAAGUGGAAUUCCUGGUGUAGCGGUGAAAUGCGCAGAUAUCAGGAGGAACACCGGUGGCGAAGGCGGCUUGCUGGGCCUUACCUGACGCUGAGGAGCGAAAGCGUGGGGAGCGAACAGGAUUAGAUACCCUGGUAGUCCACGCUGUAAACGUUGGGCGCUAGGUGUGGGGAUCUUCCACGAUCUCCGUGCCGGAGCUAACGCAUUAAGCGCCCCGCC